Molecule: long non-coding RNA, 328 nt
Organism: Thalassophryne amazonica
Lineage: Eukaryota; Metazoa; Chordata; Actinopteri; Batrachoidiformes; Batrachoididae
Exons: 4
Source: RefSeq, a predicted model, not a curated record
AAAUAUGUAAUUGAAUAACUCAACAUAUGGAAAAGUAUCUGGCCACAUAAACAACUCAGAGCAACACAAAGGUAGGCAAGCAAGCAUAAAACCAUUUAGCUGUUCUGAUUGGGGUAAAAGACAGAAACAGAAAGGUACUUGGGAAAAACACAUGAAAAUGCAUACAGCACAAAAACCUUUUGGCUGUUAUGAAUGUGGUCAAAGAUUUGGAGUAAAGAGCCAGCUGAACACACACAUGAGAAUUCAUACAGGAGAAAAACCAUUUGGCUGUUCUGAAUGUGGUAAAACAUUUGGAAAAAAGAGCAACUUGAACACACACAUGAUAAUU